GUCGAACGCGAAAGUUCCCUUCGGGGAACAAGUAGAGUGGCGCACGGGUGAGUAACACGUAGGUAAUCUACCUUCGGAUGGGGAAUAACAACCGGAAACGGCUGCUAAUACCGCAUAAUGCAGCGGCACCUAAUGGUGACAGUUGUUAAAGCGGGGGAUCGCAAGACCCCGCGUCUGAAGAGGAGCCUGCGGCGGAUUAGCUAGUUGGUAAGGUAAUGGCUUACCAAGGCGACGAUCCGUAACCGGCCUGAGAGGGCGGUCAGUCACACUGACACUGACAUACGGGUCAGACUCCUACGGGAGGCAGCAGUCGGGAAUUUUGGGCAAUGGGCGAAAGCCUGACCCAGCAACGCCGCGUGAAGGAUGAAAUCCCUCGGGAUGUAAACUUCGCAAGAACGGGAAGAAUAAGUAGGGGACAAUACCCCCUAUGAUGACGGUACCGUUUGUAAGCUCCGGCUAACUCCGUGCCAGCAGCCGCGGUAAUACGGGGGGAGCAAGCGUUGUUCGGAUUUACUGGGCGUAAAGGGCGCGUAGGCGGCCUCCGCAAGUCAGUUGUGAAAUCUCCGGGCUUAACUCGGAAAGGUCAACUGAUACUGCGGGGCUAGAGUGCAGAAGGGGCAACUGGAAUUCUCGGUGUAGCGGUGAAAUGCGUAGAUAUCGAGAGGAACACCUGCGGCGAAGGCGGGUUGCUGGGCUGACACUGACGCUGAGGCGCGAAAGCCAGGGGAGCGAACGGGAUUAGAUACCCCGGUAGUCCUGGCCUUAAACGAUGAAUGCUUGGUGUCUGGGGUUAUAAAGUCCCCGGGUGCCGUCGCUAACGCUUUAAGCAUUCCGCCUGGGGAGUACGGUCGCAAGACUGAAACUCAAAGGAAUUGACGGGGA
RNAcentral lists this ribosomal RNA (882 nucleotides) under uncultured bacterium. RNAcentral describes it as "bacterial SSU rRNA". It matches the Rfam family "Bacterial small subunit ribosomal RNA", at positions 61 to 919 of the family's 1533-position model. The record is from RNAcentral.